RNAcentral lists this ribosomal RNA (468 nucleotides) under uncultured bacterium. Its description in RNAcentral is "partial 16S ribosomal RNA". It matches the Rfam family "Bacterial small subunit ribosomal RNA", at positions 28 to 507 of the family's 1533-position model. The record is from RNAcentral.
GACGAACGCUGGCGGCGUGCUUAACACAUGCAAGUCGAACGGAAAGGCCCUGCUUUUGUGGGGUGCUCGAGUGGCGAACGGGUGAGUAACACGUGAGUAACCUGCCCUUGACUUUGGGAUAACUUCAGGAAACUGGGGCUAAUACCGGAUAGGAGCUCCUGCUGCAUGGUGGGGGUUGGAAAGUUUCGGCGGUUGGGGAUGGACUCGCGGCUUAUCAGCUUGUUGGUGGGGUAGUGGCUUACCAAGGCUUUGACGGGUAGCCGGCCUGAGAGGGUGACCGGGCACAAUGGGAAUGAGGUACGGCCCAGAAUCCUACGGGAGGCAGCAGUGGGGAAUAUUGCACAAUGGGCGGAAGCCUGAUGCAGCAACGCCGCGUGCGGGAUGACGGCCUUCGGGUUGUAAACCGCUUUCGCCUGUGACGAAGCGUGAGUGACGGUAAUGGGUAAAGAAGCACCGGCUAACUACGUG